CAGGAUGAAUGUUGGUGUGUGUGUAACGGUGUGUGUGUAGGGGUGUGUGUGUGUGUAGGGGUGUGUGUGUGUAGUGGUGUGUGUGUGUGUAGUGGUGUGUGUGUGUAGGGGUGUGUGCGUGUAGUGGUGUGUGUGUGUAGGGGUGUGUGUAUGUGUAGUGGUGUGUGUGUGUGUAGUGGUGUGUGUGUGUAGGGGUGUGUGUGUGUGUGUGUAGUGGUGUGUGUGUGUAGUGGUGUGUGUGUGUAGUGGUGUGUGUGUGUAGGGGUGUGUGUGCAGCGGUGUGUGUGUAGUGGUGUAUGUGUAGUGGUGUGUGUAUGUGUAGUGGUGUGUGUGUGUGUAGUGGUGUAUGUGUAGUGGUGUGUGUAUGUGUAGUGGUGUGUGUAUGUGUAGUGGUGUGUGUAUGUGUAGUGGUGUGUAUGUGUAGUGGUGUGUGUGUGUGUAGUGGUGUAUGUGUAGUGGUGUAUGUGUAGUGGUGUGUGUGUGUAGUGGUGUGUGUAUGUGUAGUGGUGUGUGUAUGUGUAGUGGUGUGUGUGUGUAGUGGUGUAUGUGUAGUGGUGUGUGUAUGUGUAGUGGUGUAUGUGUGUAGGGGUGUGUGUAUGUGUAUAGAGGUGUGUGUAUGUAGUGGUGUAUGUGUAGUGGUGUGUGUGUAGGGGGUGUGUGUAUGUGUAGCGGUGUGUGUGUGUAGUGGUGUAUGUGUAGUGGUGUAUGUCUAGUGGUGUGUGUGUGUAGGGGUGUGUGUAUGUGUAGUGGUGUGUGUGUGUAGUGGUGUGUGUGUAUGUGUAGUGGUGUGUGUGUAGGGGUGUGUGUAUGUGUAGUGGUGUGUGUGUAGGGGUGUGUGUGUAUGUGUGGUGUGGUGUGUGUGUGUAGUGGUGUAUGUGUAGUGGUGUAUGUGUAGUGCGGUGUGUGUGUGUAGUGGUGUGUGUGUAGGGGUGUGUGUGUUUGUGUAUAGGGGUGUGUGUGUGUAGCGGUGUGUGUGUGUGUGUGUAGUGGUGAAUGUGUAGUGGUGUGUGUAUGUGUAGUGGUGUAUGUGUAGUGGUGUGUGUUUGUAGUGGUGUGUGUGUAGUGGUGUAUGUGUAGUGGUGUGUAUGUGUAGUGGUGUAUGUGUAGUGGUGUGUGUGUGUAGUGGUGUCUGUGUUUGUGUAUAGGGGUGUGUGUAGUGGUGUAUGUGUAGUGGUAUGUGUGUAGGGGUGUGUGUAUGUGUAGCGGUGUGUGUGUGUAUAGGGGUGUGUGUGUAGGGGUGUGUGUGUAGCGGUGUGUGUGUAGCGGUGUGUGUGUGUAGGGGUGUGUGUGGUGGUGGUGUGUGUGUAGCGGUGUGUGUGUGUAGGGGUGUGUGUGUAGUGGUGUGUGUGUAGGGGUGUGUGUGUAGUGUUGUGUGGUGGUGUGUGUGUGUAGUGGUGUGUGUGGUGGUGUGUGUGUAGGGGUGUGUGUGUAGGGGUGUGUGUUUGUGUAUAGGGGUGUGUGUGUAGCGGUGUGUGUGUGUGUGUAGUGGGUGUGUGUGUAGGGGUGUGUGUGUAGUGGUGUAGGUGUGUGUGUGUGUAGGUGACUGUAGUGGUGUGUGUGUAGUGGUGUGUGUGUAGGGGUGUGUGUAGGUGACUGUAGUGGUGUGUGUGUGUAGUAGUGUGUGUGUAGUGGUGUGUGUAGGGGUGUGUGUGUAGUGGUGUGUGUGUAGUGGUGUAGGUGUGUGUGUGUGUAGUGGUGUGUGUAGGGGUGUGUGUGUAGUGGUGUGUGUGUAGUGGUGUAGGUGUGUGUGUGUGUAGGUGACUGUAGUGGUGUGUGUGUAGUGGUGUGUGUGUAGUGGUGUAGGUGUGUGUGUGUGUAGGUGUGUGUAGUGGUGUGUGUGUAGUGGUGUGUGUGUAGGGGUGUGUGUGUGUAGUGGUGUGUGUGUAGGGGUGUGUGUGUAGUGGUGUGUGUGUAGUGGUGUGUGUGUAUGGGUGUGUGUGUAGGGGUGUGUGUGUAGUUGUGUGUGUGUGUAGUGGUGUGUGUGUAGUGGUGUGUGUGUAGGGGUGUGUGUGUAGUGGUGUGUGUAUAGUGGUGUGUGUGUAGGGGUGUGUGUGUAGGGGUGUGUGUGUAGUGGUGUGUGUGUAGGGGUGCGUGUCGGUUUGUGUGUAUAGCGGUGUGUGUAUAGUGGUGUGUGUUUCUCCGUUCCUCCCAAAACAACAACAGCCUCCAAAAGCAGCAGUCUGUCCAGACAAAGACCUUGUUUAGAGUUGGGCUGUGGUGAGUGUCAGGACUGAAGAGGCUGUGGUGUGAUGUGACAGAGGCUAGGAGGAGGGAGGGAGAGAAGGGCUAUUCAUCACAUUCCUGAUGCACAAUCACAUUACUGAAAUGUUUCAAAUACAAUACAAACUACUGUAUUGUAAUAACAUUGUU
Oncorhynchus tshawytscha (Chinook salmon) is the source of this 2370-nucleotide long non-coding RNA. Lineage: Eukaryota; Metazoa; Chordata; Actinopteri; Salmoniformes; Salmonidae. The record is from Ensembl.